This 407-nucleotide ribosomal RNA is filed under the name uncultured bacterium. RNAcentral describes it as "bacterial SSU rRNA". It matches the Rfam family "Bacterial small subunit ribosomal RNA", at positions 355 to 776 of the family's 1533-position model. RNAcentral also lists the same sequence under 2 other names. The record is from RNAcentral.
UGGGGAAUAUUGGGCAAUGGGGGAAACCCUGACCCAGCAACGCCGCGUGAAGGAAGAAGGCCUUCGGGUUGUAAACUUCUUUGACAGGGGACGAAACAAAUGACGGUACCCUGAAAACAAGCCACGGCUAACUACGUGCCAGCAGCCGCGGUAAUACGUAGGUGGCGAGCGUUAUCCGGAAUUACUGGGUGUAAAGGGCGCGUAGGCGGGGAUGCAAGUCAGGUGUGAAAUCUAUGGGCUUAACCCAUAAACUGCACUUGAAACUGUGUCUCUUGAGUGAUGGAGAGGUAAGUGGAAUUCCUAGUGUAGCGGUGGAAUGCGUAGAUAUUAGGAGGAACACCAGUGGCGAAGGCGACUUACUGGACAUUAACUGACGCUGAGGCGCGAAAGCGUGGGGAGCAAACAGG